This 388-nucleotide long non-coding RNA is filed under the name Bos taurus (domestic cattle). Its description in RNAcentral is "long non-coding RNA NONBTAT015698". The record is from RNAcentral. Lineage: Eukaryota; Metazoa; Chordata; Mammalia; Artiodactyla; Bovidae.
AGUGAUUGAUUAAAACUGUAAAAAUUAGUUUGACAAAUCAGCAAAUUACCUAACAAGAGUUAAAGAUCUGGGGUAGGCGUUUUACUCAAAGGCCUGGCUAGCUUUUCAAAAUGAACUGUAACAUAUACCUUUGCUCAACUAAAGAACCUGUCAGGGGUUGGGGGAGGACCUUUUUAUUAUUCUAUGAGUAAGCGCUUAUAUUAUUAUUCAAAGUAGGUAGUGAAGGUAAGAAGGAUCUAAAGUGGCACAGAGAAGACACAAUGUAUAUACAAGCUACCCCAAACUCCAAAUUCAGCCACUGGAAUUUAACAUCCAUGGCCCUAAGAUCUAGGAUUUCAUCCUAACACAACCUCAGGUUGAAGCUGGGAGGCAGCCACAUAGGGCCUAA